GUCGAACACGGAGCAGUACGGACGUGUUAUUCUUCGUUCCUCGGAUCGAACAUCGAAAUGGGAAUUCGAGUAGACGAAGAGGAUCAAGAGAGUUUCAUCUUCGUGUCGCGCUUCUAUCUCGUGGAUAACUCGAAACAUUGACAAAGGAGGCAUCAAGAAAGGAGGAUAAUCGACAUCGUUGCCCGCGAUAUUGCUUCGAACAGACUGUGCGGAAAAAAGAGAGGUCGUCACGUUAACGAAGAUUAUUUUUCCUUGUUCAAAGUCUCUCAACCCGAAAAGCGGGUUCAUUAUUGAUACGCCUCGACAUUUUGUCGACGCCUUAAUGCCCCUCCACUCUUUAAUGACGGCGUUAAUAAGGAUGGUGCUGCGCUACUUACGUGCUAAAGGACGCGACGAGGACGGAGUCAAUACUUUUCUCUUAAUUAACUCGUGGAAGGGAGAGAGAGAGAGA
This is a long non-coding RNA of Apis mellifera (honey bee), 451 nucleotides long. RefSeq lists it as uncharacterized. The transcript has 4 exons. Lineage: Eukaryota; Metazoa; Arthropoda; Insecta; Hymenoptera; Apidae. The record is from RefSeq and is a predicted model, not a curated record.